UGCCUGAUAGUAUAAGGGUAGUACAACUGAUUUUGGUUCAGUUUGUCUUGGUUCGAAUCCAGGUCAGGCAACAA
This 74-nucleotide transfer RNA is filed under the name Sphingobacteriia bacterium. Its description in RNAcentral is "tRNA-Gln". It matches the Rfam family "tRNA". Rfam says of the family: Transfer RNA (tRNA) molecules are approximately 80 nucleotides in length. Their secondary structure includes four short double-helical elements and three loops (D, anti-codon, and T loops). The record is from RNAcentral. Lineage: Bacteria; Pseudomonadati; Bacteroidota; Sphingobacteriia.